UACGUAGGUGGCAAGCGUUGUCCGGAAUUAUUGGGCGUAAAGGGCUCGCAGGCGGUUUCUUAAGUCUGAUGUGAAAGCCCCCGGCUCAACCGGGGAGGGUCAUUGGAAACUGGGAAACUUGAGUGCGGAAGAGGAGAGUGGAAUUCCACGUGUAGCGGUGAAAUGCGUAGAGAUGUGGAGGAACACCAGUGGCGAAGGCGACUCUCUGGUCUGUAACUGACGCUGAGGAGCGAAAGCGUGGGGAGCGAACAGG
This 253-nucleotide ribosomal RNA is filed under the name uncultured bacterium. RNAcentral describes it as "partial 16S ribosomal RNA". It matches the Rfam family "Bacterial small subunit ribosomal RNA", at positions 524 to 776 of the family's 1533-position model. The record is from RNAcentral.